CACAGGAACCGAACCCUCACAGGGCCAGGAAUACUGGAACUGCCAGGAGGAGCCACCAGUCAGGAGCCAUCCAUGAGAAUGGAGAUCUUUAGGAAGAGCCAGAGGCAGAGUGACCAGGGGAGCAGAGCAGACAGGGAGCUGCAGACAAGGGAGUUUGAGAGGAACAGCAAGAGCUCCUGCUGCUGAACAGGCUACCAGGAGAGAAGGAAUCACCCUCUACAGUAAAGGAGGAGAAGCCUCGUGCCCCUAAGGCUGGGAGGUCUGCUGCGACCACUGUGAAUAGGAGACGUAGGGUAGUGGUGGUCAGAGACUCUCUGCUGAGGGGGACGGAGGCGUCCAUCUGUCGCCCUGACAUUUCAUCUGGGGAGGUAUGCUGCCUGCUGGGGGCCCAUAUCUGAGAUGUUACAGAGGCAUUGUCGAGGAUUAUCCAGCCCUCUGACUACUACCCCAUGCUACUCGUCCAUGUGGGCACAAAUGAUACUGCGAGGUGUGACACUGAGUGGAUCAAGAGUGACUACAGGGCUCUGGGAGUACGCGUGAAGGAGUUUGGAGUGCAGGUGUUAUUCUCUUCGAUUCUUCCUGUCAAAGGUAGGGGCUCGGGCAGAGACAGAUGCAUCAUGGAGGUGAAUGCCUGGCUGCGAAGAUGGUGUUGCCAGGAGGGCUUUGGCUUCCUCGACCACGGGAUGCUAUUUGAGGAAGGACCGCUAGGCAGAGAUGGUGUUCACCUUUUGAGCAGAGGAAAAACCCUAUUUGCACACAGACUGCCUAAGCUAGUGAGGAGGGCUUUAAACUAGGUUCGACGGGGACAGGUGAGCAAAGCCCACAGGUAAGUGGGGAACAUGGAGACCUGGGAGAUGGGUCAGAAACAAGAGGGAGCGUGGGCUAUAAUGGCAGAGAAAAAGAAGGGUCAGGGCAAAACUGGGAGGCAAGAUCAAACCAGUAUCUUAGAUGCCUAUAUACAAAUACGAGAAGUAUGGGUAAUAAGCAGGAAGAACUGGAAGUGCUAAUAAAUACAUACAUACAUACAUACAACUAUGACAUUGUUGGCAUCACUGAAACUUGGUGGGAUAAUACACAUGAUUGGAAUGUUGGUGUGGAUGGGUACAGCUUGCUCAGGAAGGAUAGACCGGGGAAAAAGGGAGGAGGUGUUGCCUUAUAUUUUAAAAAUGUACACACUCUAAAAGGGGUAAAAAACAAGGGUGAUGUUGUGCUAGAAGUCUACUAUAGGCCACCUACCCAGGUGUAAGAGGUGGAUGAGGCUUUUUUUAAACAACUAACAAAAUCAUCCAAAGCCCAAGAUUUGGUGGUGACACCGCGGGGCACAGACUAUCCAAUUAGUUCUUGGACUGCAUUGCAGACAACUUUUUAUUUCAGAAGGUUGAAAAAGCUACUGGGGGGAAGCUGUUCUAGACUUGAUUUUAACAAAUAGGGAGGAACUCAUUGAAAAUUUGAAAGUAGAAGGAAGCUUGGGUGAAAGUGAUCAUGAAAUCAUAGAGUUUGCAAUUCUAAAGAAGGAUAGAAGGGAGUACAGCAAAAUAGAGACAAUGGAUUUCAGGAAGGCAGAUUUUGGUAAGCUCAGAGAGCUGAUAGGUAAGGUCCCAUGGGAAUCAAGACUGAGGGGAAAAACAACUGAGGAGAGUUGGCAGUUUUUCAAAGGGACACUAUUAAGGGCCCAAAAGCAAGCUAUUCCGCUGGGUAGGAAAGAUAGAAAAUGUGGCAAAAGACCACCUUGGCUUAACCACAAGGUCUUGCAUGAUCUAAAAAAUAAAAAGGAGUAAUAUAAAAAAAUGGAAACUAGGCCAGAUUACAAAGGAUGAAUAUAGGCAAACAACACAGGAACGCCGGGGCAAGAUUAGAAAGGCAAAGGCACAAAAUGAGCUCAAAUUAGCUUUGGGAAUAAAGGGAAACAAGACGACUUUUUAUCAAUACAUUAGAAGCAAGAGGAAGACCAAGGACAGGGUAGGCCCACUGCUCAGUGAGGAGGGAGAAACAGUAACAGGAAACUUGGAAAUGGCAGAGAUGCUUAAUGACUUCUUUGUUUCGGUCUUCACUGAGAAGUCUGAAGAAAUGUCUAACACAGUGAAUACUUAUGGGAAGGGGGUAGGUGUAGAAGAUAAAAUAAAAAAAGAACAAGUUAAAAAUCACUUAGAAAAGUUAGAUGCCUCCAAGUCGCCAGGGCCUGAUGAAAUGCAUCCUAGAAUACUCAAGGAGUGAAUAGAGGAGGUAUCUGAGCCACAAGCUAUUAUCUUUGGAAAAUCAUGGGAGACGGGAGAGAUUCCAGAAGACUGGAAAAGGGCAAAUAUAGUGCCCAUCUAUAAAAAGGGAAAUAAAAACAACCCAGGAAACUGCAGACCAGUUAGUUUAACUUCUGUGCCAGGGAAGAUAAUGGAGCAAGUAAUUAAAGAAAACAUCUGCAAACACUUGGAAGGUGGUAAGGUGAUAGGGAAUAGCCAGCAUGGAUUUGUAAAGAACAAAUCGUGUCAAACCAAUCUGAUAGCUUUCUUUGAUAGGAUCACGAGUCUUGUGGAUAAGGGGGAGAAGCAGUGGAUGUGGUAUACCUAGACUUUAGUAAGGCAUUUGAUAUGGUCUCGCAUGAUAUUCUUAUUGAUAAACUAGGUAAAUACAAUUUAGAUGGGGCUACUAUAAGGUGAGUGCAUAACUGGCUGGAUAACCGUACUCAGAGGGUAGUUAUUAAUGGUUCCCAAUUCUGCCGGAAAGGUAUAACAAGUAGGGUUCCGCAGGGGUCUGUUUUGGGACCGGCUCUGUUCAAUAUCUUCAUCAACGACUUAGAUAUUGGCAUAGAAAGUAUGCUUACUAAGUUUGCAAAUGAUACCAAACUGGGAGGGAUUGCAACUGAUUUGGAGGACAGGGUCAUAAUUCAAAAUGAUCUGGACAAAUUGGAGAAAUGGUCUGAGGUAAACCGGAUGAAGUUUAAUAAAGACAAAUGCAAAGUGCUCCAAAGUUAGAAAGGAACAAUCAGUUUCACACAUACAGAAUGAGAAGAGACUGUCUAGGAAGGAGUAUGGCAGAAAGGGAUCUAGGGGUCAUAGUGGACCACAAGCUAAAUAUGAUUUAACAGUGUGAUACUGUUACAAAAAAAGCAAAUGUGAUUCUGGGAUGCAUUAACAGGUGUGUUGUGAGCAAGACACAAGAAGUCAUUCUUCCACUCUACUCUGCACUGGUUAGGCCUCAACUGGAGUAUUGUGUCCAGUUCUGGGCACCGCAUUUCAAGAAAGAUGUGGAGAAUUUGGAGAGAGUCCAGAGAAGAGCAACAAGAAUAAUUAAAGGUCUUGAGAACAUGACCUAUGAAGGAAGGCUGAAAGAAUUGGGUUUAUUUAGUUUGGAAAAGAGAAGACUUAGAGGGGACAUGAUAGCAGUUUUCACGUAUCUAAAAGGGUGUCAUCAGGAGGAGGGAGAAAACUUGUUCACCUUAGCCUCUAAUGAUACAACAAGAAGCAAUGGGCUUAAAUUGCAGCAAGAGAGAUUUAGGUUGGACAUUAGGAAAAAGUUCCUAACUGUCAGGGUAGUUUAACACUGGAAUAAAUUGCCUAGGGAAAUUGUGGAAUCUCCAUCUCUGGAGAUAUUUAAGAGUAGGUUAGAUAAAUGUCUGUCAGGGAUGGUCUAGACAGUAUUUGGUCCUGCCAUGAGGGCAGGGGACUGGACUCAAUGACCUCUCGAGGUCCCUUCCAGUCCUAGAGUCUAUGAAUCUAUGAAAAGGUGCUUUCAUAAACCACAUUUCUCUGAGAUAUAAAGUAUAAAUCAAACAUAGCUAGAACUCUUUCAUAGUCAUCUUUGUAACUGUCUUAGUAAAGGUAAAAGAUUUAAGAUAUGCUCAGCCUGCUUCCUCGUAGCAUAAAUUAAAAAUGGUUCCUGAAUAUCUUGUUCCUUAUGGAGUUUUAUAGCAAUACAAAAUGUUGCUUCCAUUCUGUCCAUUCUCGCCCAUGCACAUUGUGACAGUUAGAUUUGCUAAGCACAGGGAUGACAAGGCUGGGAGCAGAGGACAUGUGUCCCCUCCCCAAACUGCAGCUGCUUGCAAUCUCUCCACUUGGUAUUAGUGUAGCUGUAUAUUAAUUAAGGUGUGUGGCCUGCUGAAGGACAGGAGGCAUCCUCUCAGGGAAAAUCUCUGGAGCUUAUAGUGUACACUGCCAUCUGAACUGAUGAUGGCCAUUAACCCACCCCAUUAUGGUUUCUAUGCAACAGUGGAGGAAGCACAAGCUCUGUCUGCAGGGAGCAAGAUCUGGGUCCCCAGUGCUGAAAGGAGAAGGAACCAGAGAGGCAUAUGGUCUAAUUUUGGUUGAUGCGUUUAGUGUGUGGGUGCUGGUGGCCUGUGACACACAGGAGCUCAAAUUAGAUAAUCUGGUAUUCCCUUCUGGUCUUAAACUCUCUGUGAUAGUGCUUAUACAACAUAGGAAUGUGAGAGACACUGGAUUUUACUAUGAUCUUCCUACAGACGGCAGCCAACACUGGUUUGGCUGGCACUGCCCACUGCCAAUUUUGCCCUGUCUCUGCCACUGUUUUCCAAAGGACAGAACAGAGUGGAUUUUUCUGCAUAAUAAAUGUGCUGGAUAUCUGUAGGUAAUUCCUCCCCUUCUAUCCA
Gopherus flavomarginatus (Mexican gopher tortoise) is the source of this 4597-nucleotide long non-coding RNA. RefSeq lists it as uncharacterized. The transcript has 3 exons. The record is from RefSeq and is a predicted model, not a curated record. NCBI's taxonomy places the organism in Eukaryota, Metazoa, Chordata, Testudines, Testudinidae.